This is a non-coding RNA of Cheilinus undulatus (humphead wrasse), 880 nucleotides long. Lineage: Eukaryota; Metazoa; Chordata; Actinopteri; Labriformes; Labridae. The record is from the annotation of a RefSeq genome assembly.
CUCUGUCAGUCUCAGUGUGCUCUUAAAUUGCUCCUCCAGCUCCUCCUCUCCUCAUCCUCCAAAGCCUCUCUCCACUCUCCAAGUCACAAGGCCAUUCUCAGCACACACUGACAACAUGCUGUGGACUCUGCUCUCUCUCAUCACUGCUCUAACAUGUGUGAGUGCUGUGACGCUGGUGACACAGAAGCCUCCUGUUGUGUCUGUGAGGAGAGGAGAGACCGCCACCAUGGACUGUAACCUGGAGACGGUGACUGGCAGUGAUGCUCGCUGGUACAAACAGAUUCCUGGAGGAGUUCCUCAGUUUAUACUGUAUAACUAUCAUGGCUGGAGCUCUCCAAGAUAUGACUCUGGUUUCUCCUCUCCAAAGUUCACAUCCACUCAUCAGUCACAAUCAGAUUAUCGAUUGAUCAUCAGCACUGUGGAGGAGGGAGACUCAGCAGUUUAUUACUGUAAAACAUGGGACAGCUCUGCUAAGCAGUACGUAUCACAGUGAUUUACACCAUGACAAAAACCUCCUCACUGAACAUUUCUGCUUUUUCAGUCUCUGAGACACUUCUUAUACCAUCAGUCACUUCUCUGCACAAGAGUUUUUGUGACUGCCAACCAGUUUCCUGAAUGUUUUCUUUAAAAGCAGUGGACAAAAUUAUCUGUCUUUUCACGCAACACCUGCAGAGUACAGAACCAAACAUUUUCAGGCUUUUUUUCAGUUCAUCUUAAAGAAAUAUAAUCAUAUUUCAUAACCUCCAAAUAAUUAAAUACAAAUGAGAUUGCAAGGCUGCUACAAAACUCAUAAACUAGAUUUAACUUUGUUUCUUUUUAACCACAAAACAUUCAGUUUAACUAGCCUUACCCUUCUAACUCAGAGUUUUUCUGAGCAAAA